This 427-nucleotide ribosomal RNA is filed under the name uncultured beta proteobacterium. Its description in RNAcentral is "partial 16S ribosomal RNA". It matches the Rfam family "Bacterial small subunit ribosomal RNA", at positions 355 to 774 of the family's 1533-position model. Lineage: Bacteria; Pseudomonadati; Pseudomonadota; Betaproteobacteria. The record is from RNAcentral.
UGGGGAAUUUUGGACAAUGGGGGCAACCCUGAUCCAGCCAUGCCGCGUGCGGGAAGAAGGCCUUCGGGUUGUAAACCGCUUUUGGUCGGGAAGAAAAGGCUGAGGCUAAUAUCCUUGGUUCUUGACGGUACCGGCAGAAUAAGCACCGGCUAACUACGUGCCAGCAGCCGCGGUAAUACGUAGGGUGCGAGCGUUAAUCGGAAUUACUGGGCGUAAAGCGUGCGCAGGCGGUUAGUUAAGUCUGAUGUGAAAGCCCCGGGCUCAACCUGGGAAUGGCAUUGGAAACUGGCUGGCUAGAGUGUGGCAGAGGGGGGUGGAACUCCGCGUGUAGCAGUGAAAUGCGUAGAGAUGCGGAAGAACACCGAUGGCGAAGGCAGCCCCCUGGGCUAACACUGACGCUCAGGCACGAAAGCGUGGGGAGCAAACA